This is a non-coding RNA of Sphaeroforma arctica JP610, 74 nucleotides long. The record is from Rfam. NCBI's taxonomy places the organism in Eukaryota, Ichthyosporea, Ichthyophonida.
GGGCAUUUAGCUCAGCUGGAUAGAGCACGGUACUUCUAAUACCGUGGCCGGGAGUUCGAAUCUCUCAAUGCCCU